Molecule: ribosomal RNA, 253 nt
Filed under: uncultured bacterium
Lineage: Bacteria
Description: partial 16S ribosomal RNA
Rfam family: Bacterial small subunit ribosomal RNA
Source: RNAcentral
UACGAAGGGGGCUAGCGUUGCUCGGAAUCACUGGGCGUAAAGCGCACGUAGGCGGCUUUUUAAGUCAGGGGUGAAAUCCUGGAGCUCAACUCCAGAACUGCCUUUGAUACUGGGAAGCUUGAGUCCGGGAGAGGUGAGUGGAACUCCCAGUGUAGAGGUGAAAUUCGUAGAUAUUGGGAAGAACACCGGUGGCGAAGGCGGCGCUCUGGACCGAGACUGACGCUGAGGCGCGAAAGCGUGGGGAGCAAACAGG